CUACGGGCCGCACCAGCUGAGGAUUUUUUACAAUGCACGAAAGUGUGAUAAAGCGAGCCAGAGUGUUGUUCUUAGAACAACUUUUAUUUGCUGUAAAAAGGCAGAUGAAUAAGGACUGGGUAAGACCGGUGCCAGCCGCCGCGGUAAUACCGGCGGUCCAAGUUGCAUCCAUUUUUAUUGGGUCUAAAACAUCCGUAGCUUGCUUUGUAAGUUUCUUGUGAAAUCUCAUGUCUCAAGCAUGAGGCUUGCAAGAAAUACUGCAUAGCUAGAGACCGGAAGACGUAAGGAGUAUGAUUGAGGUAGCGGUAAAAUGUGUUAAUCUUAAUCAGACUAACAACGGCGAAGGCACCUUACGAGUACGGAUCUGACAGUGAGGGAUGAAGGCUAGGGGCGCAAAACGGAUUAGAUACCCGCGUAGUC
RNAcentral lists this ribosomal RNA (420 nucleotides) under uncultured archaeon. Its description in RNAcentral is "partial 16S ribosomal RNA". It matches the Rfam family "Archaeal small subunit ribosomal RNA", at positions 323 to 746 of the family's 1478-position model. The record is from RNAcentral.